GCGUUCGUAGAUCAGUGGAUAGAUCGUCAAGCUACGGACUUGAAGGACGAGGGUUCGAAUCCUUCCGAACGUG
Molecule: transfer RNA, 73 nt
Filed under: Mychonastes homosphaera
Lineage: Eukaryota; Viridiplantae; Chlorophyta; Chlorophyceae; Sphaeropleales; Mychonastaceae
Description: tRNA-Arg
Rfam family: tRNA
About the family: Transfer RNA (tRNA) molecules are approximately 80 nucleotides in length. Their secondary structure includes four short double-helical elements and three loops (D, anti-codon, and T loops). Further hydrogen bonds mediate the characteristic L-shaped molecular structure. tRNAs have two regions of fundamental functional importance: the anti-codon, which is responsible for specific mRNA codon recognition, and the 3' end, to which the tRNAs corresponding amino acid is attached (by aminoacyl-tRNA synthetases). tRNAs cope with the degeneracy of the genetic code in two manners: having more than one tRNA (with a specific anti-codon) for a particular amino acid; and 'wobble' base-pairing, i.e. permitting non-standard base-pairing at the 3rd anti-codon position.
Source: RNAcentral